RNAcentral lists this ribosomal RNA (434 nucleotides) under uncultured bacterium. Its description in RNAcentral is "partial 16S ribosomal RNA". It matches the Rfam family "Bacterial small subunit ribosomal RNA", at positions 29 to 507 of the family's 1533-position model. The record is from RNAcentral.
AGCGAACGCUGGCGGCAGGCCUAACACAUGCAAGUCGAACGAACCUUUCGGGGUUAGUGGCGGACGGGUGAGUAACACGUGGGAACGUGCCUUUAGGUUCGGAAUAACUCAGGGAAACUUGUGCUAAUACCGAAUGUGCCCUUCGGGGGAAAGAUUAAUCGCCUUUAGAGCGGCCCGCGUCUGAUUAGCUAGUUGGUUGAGGUAAUGGCUCACCAAGGCGACGAUCAGUAGCUGGUCUGAGAGGAUGAUCAGCCACAUUGGGACUGAGACACGGCCCAAACUCCUACGGGAAGCAGCAGUGGGGAAUCUUGCGCAAUGGGCGAAAGCCUGACGCAGCCAUGCCGCGUGAAUGAUGAAGGUCUUAGGAUUGUAAAAUUCUUUCAACGGGGACGAUAAUGACGGUACCCGGAGAAGAAGCCCCGGCUAACUUCGUG